This 491-nucleotide ribosomal RNA is filed under the name Myopsocus sp. KY298. Its description in RNAcentral is "partial 16S ribosomal RNA". The stretch from base 369 to 491 matches the Rfam family "Bacterial large subunit ribosomal RNA", at positions 2473 to 2596 of the family's 2925-position model. The record is from RNAcentral. Lineage: Eukaryota; Metazoa; Arthropoda; Insecta; Psocodea; Myopsocidae.
GUCUUAUUGAAUAUAAUUUUAAGUCAAAUCUGCUCACUGAAGUAUUAAAGAGCCGCAGUAUUCUAACUGUGCAAAGGUAGCAUAAUCAAUAGUUUUUUAAUUGAAAACUUGUAUGAAUGAUUAGAUGAAAAAUUUGUUUUCUUUAUUAUAAUAAAUUUAAUUUUAAAUUUAAGUGAAAAUGCUUAAAUAUAAUUAAAAGACGAGAAGACCCUAUAGAUUUUUAUUAUUAUAAUUUAAUUUUAUAAUUAUUAAAUUAAAAUAAUUUAAUUGGGGCGAUUUUGUAAUAUAAAAAACUUAAUUUUUUAAAACCAUAAAUAAUUGAAUUUUUUGAUCUAAAAAUUUUAAAAGAAAGAUUAAAUUACCUUAGGGAUAACAGCGUAAUUUUAUUUAAGAGUUCAUAUCUAUAAUAAAGUUUGCGACCUCGAUGUUGAAUUAAGAUAAAUUAUUGGAGUAGAAGCUAAUAUAAUUAGUCUGUUCGACUAUUAAAUUCU